AUGUUUCAGUUUUUAAGGUUUUGUUCUGAAACAUUCAUAUCUAUCUUCCAAAACCUUUCAGUUGAAGCUCCAAAGGAAAGGGCGAAACUAGUCCCUAAAGAAAAAGCACCUGAGAUAACUAAAGAAAAACCAAAACCAGCACCAAAGAAAGAGCCUGAAGUCAAGGAAAAGGCUAAACCAGCCCCUGAGAAGAAAGAGGCUGAAGUCAUCAAGGAGAAAGUUAAAC
Molecule: long non-coding RNA, 226 nt
Filed under: Sinocyclocheilus anshuiensis
Lineage: Eukaryota; Metazoa; Chordata; Actinopteri; Cypriniformes; Cyprinidae
Description: lncRNA (ENSSANG00000012253.1)
Source: RNAcentral